Long non-coding RNA from Triticum aestivum (bread wheat), 4741 nucleotides. RefSeq lists it as uncharacterized. The record is from RefSeq and is a predicted model, not a curated record. NCBI's taxonomy places the organism in Eukaryota, Viridiplantae, Streptophyta, Magnoliopsida, Poales, Poaceae. The transcript is spliced from 11 exons.
ACAGCUGAAAAAAACGGCAUCGAUUCACACGCACGUACGAGCGAGGCUUCCUGCCCUCGAGCGAGAACCACUAGCACUCACGACCCGCACAGCAGAUCGUUCGCCGCCGCCCUCCAUCCCUUCGCACCAGAUCCAUCCCUUCGCCGCCGCCGAUCCAUCCGUUCUUCGUGCCCGACGUCGCUGACCCCGCCUCCGCGCCGCUCGCCCGAGCCUUUCUCAGUUCCUCUCCGACGCGGCCGACAAGCCCCCGCAGCUCCUCCCCGUCGAAACCGCGCCCGUCGCCCAACGGCUCUUCCUCGAGUUCCCUGGCUCCGACGAGGGCCCGCCCAAGGCCAAGGGGAAGGGGGGACACGGUGGGAGAGGAGAAUGGAGGGAUCAGGGAGGCGGUGCAGAGGUUCGAGGGGUAGGAGGUCGAGGCGCUCGAGCGGAAGGAGGUCGCCUUCAGGCUCAUCGUUCAGAUGCUCGGGGGCGAGGGCGGGCUGGAGGCCGACAAGGUUGCCAAGGUCAGGAAAGCUGCCGCAUGGCAGGUCCGUUCGCUCACGGAUUUUCUCAAGAAUUAGGCAAUCAUCUCCUCGGACUCAGAGUAGUGAGGAGGGCAUGCGUCAGAGGCCAGUCGGCAGAGGGAGUUCAGGUUUGCGUUUCAUCAGGGGGAUAGUUGUGAGCAAUGCAUAUAUCUAGGUUUCUCUUUUGUUUCUCUCUUGUUGAUGCAAACUUGCUCUGCUUGACUCUGUUUUGGCCUCAAGGCGCAGGCCUUUCUGUAUGUGUGUGUGUGUGUCGUAGGUCUUGAAAGCAUGUAGUAGUAUGUAGCUUGAUUCAUACAUUUCUUCCGUAGCAGCAAGUUUUUCAUGGAGUAUGUUUUCGUGCUAAUCCUGCGAGCUGAUGUUUGCUGUUGUACUCAUGCUGGCAGAGAUAAUGCGUGUGUCCUCCUUGCUUAAGCACCAGCCUGAUGGGGACUUUGAGAGGUUGCCGCCGAUGGCGCGUCCAAACCAGAUGCAUCAUCAUCAGUCGCCCCCAAUGCCUAAUUUCCGUGGAAAUGGUUUUGGCCCGUGGAACCACAGGGCGCAUCCAGAGAGGGUAGGUUUUCCUCAAGGACCCGUGGGUUGGCAAGGAGCACCACAAAGCCCCUCUCCAUACAUUGUCAAGAAGAUUUUGCGGUUGGAGAUACCAACAGAUACUUACCCUAAUUUCAAUUUUAUUGGCCGUCUUCUUGGGCCAAAGGGAAACUCGUUGAAGAGGAUUGAAGCCACUACAGGUUGUCGUGUUUUUAUCAGAGGGAAGGGCUCAAUUAAAGAUCCUGGGAAGUAACCUACCACGCGCGCCGAGGCGAGGGCCUCGUGGACUCCGUCCAUCGCCGCUUGGCCGACGACCCUGCCGCUUGGCCGAGGACCUCGUGAUGUAUCAAUUAUUUCUCAGCUUGGCGCAUGCAUUACGGCAGCACGCCGCGCGCAGUUUCCUUGGAUUCUAUUUCAUCUCCUCCCGUCCGCUUCCUCUAAUUGUGAGUUUUGGUUGUAAUGUGUUUUACAGAUUCCCAUCUACUGUACUUCCUAUGUAGUGCAUAUCCCGUUCCUCCUUUUACAGGCUUCUCAAAUCAUUCGUUCGUUCGUGCUGGUCAUCCUCCUACAUCUGCCUGUCUCGCUCUCCGAUUGAUUAAUCGUGUUCAUUGGGAUUUAAAAAGAGGAACAUGGAUUUUUGUUGGUGACUUGUAAGCAGCAACAAGAUCUUGCAAUUUCUAAUUUUCUAGCCAUCCACGUGAGUACAGAUCAGGCGAGUACCUCGGGGCAGAGCCCGCGCUGCCGUACCUGAGCCCCUACAUGCGCGGCGAGAACCUGCUCGUCGGCGCAAACUUCGCGUCCACCGGCGUCGACAUCCUCAACGACACAGGCGUGCAAUUUGAUCGCGCAGCAGCUGCAGAACUUCCAGGACUACCAGCAGAGGCUGGCGGCGUACGUCGGCGAGGACGCGGCGAGUGAGCGCAUGAGCCAGUCGCUAUUGCUCAUCACGCUUGGUGGCAACGACUUCGUCAACAACUACUGCCUGGUGCCCUUCUCCGCUAGGUCCCAGCAGUUCGAGAUCCACAGCUACAUCCCCUUCAUCAUCUCCGAGUACAAGAAAGUCCUCGCGGGUGAUAUGGAUGAAGGAAAAGAGGCCAGCAGUGCUGAGCUAAACAAUUCAGGGAGGUAUUGGAUUGGCCUCUGUAGAAACUAUGGCACCUAAUCUUGGGCCCCUAGAAGAAGGAAACUCAACAUGCGUGAUUCUCAUUAGAGGCAACCAGACCGUUGUUGAAAAUAUUGAUGAUUCCUGUUGUGUAUUCCCAAGGAAUGGUCAGGUUUAGUACUGACCGUUGCGGUGCGUAGAAGAAAGGUGCCACUUUCACUUAGUUCUCUCAGUUCUAAGUUGGGACUGCAAAAAUUUGAGGAUUUCCCCACAUGUGAGUUGCCUUGAUUAGUUUUGGCUUAGUUAUUGAAAUGAACUGGAAGUAACUUCUGAAUUUGUUUGACUUUGGACUUGCAUGAGACCUGAAGUUUCUGCUUCUAGCAUUUCUCUUUUGUAAGCAGCAUGGCAAACCCGGUUUCAAAGUAAAGACCUGAGGAAGAAUGUAGAUUGAUCACUGUGAUUUCAAGUCCUUAAGGUGAUUGAUCACUGUGGUAAUUCAUUCUUUUGUCAAAAUUUGAUUACAAUUGGGGUUGGAGGGAAGCAACAAAAUCCCUAUCCUGUAAUAGACGUUUUUGGUGUGUGACUUGAUAGUUGUUCAGGUCGAUACAAAAUUUCAUUCAUGUGGUUUUUAAGGCAUUUGAAUUUAACAUUGUUUUUAUGUUUGUCUAAGAGCUGGAGCUGUUAAGACUUGAGACAAAUAUAUACAGGGCCACAAGGGCCUACAAGAUCCAAUUCAUAAGAAAGUUGAGGCACAUUAAUCAAACGCCAACCCACCUGCUAUUGGCACUAAAUGAGGAAGGAAAAAGAACAUUGUCCCUGAAGGCUCGAGAUACACAAACAGGCAACUGAGUUUGGGAAAGGUGGUUGUCUCCUUGACGCACACCAUGGUGCCCUUGUCUACUCUCUGUCUUCUUCCUUGGACAUGUAUUUUAUUUCAAGCUUUGGUAAGUGGUCCGUACUGACAAAUGAAAUACGCAGAAAAAGAUACUUAUGUUGUUUUGUUCUUGCAGACACCUUAUUUACUCGUAGUAGGUUCUCUCGUACCAUUUUUCGGUGGAGUUGUACUGGCAUCCUUGACUGAAGUUUCUUUCAACUGGUUAAUUAUAAUCUUCCCAUUUCUGAAAUUUCAAAGUCAAAUGAUUGGGGAAUGCAUCACACUAUCCAUUAGUUCAGUCAAGCUCACAUUAUUGGCAAUUGAGUUAAGUCUUAUAUUUAUAUGCCUGUAACACUCAAAACUUUCUAAAAUGAGAAGUGAUGUGUUAAUUUUUGAAGAGACUGUGAUUAUGUUACAAGCAUAUACAUCACUGGCAAUGCGAAAAAAAACUAAUAAUACCUUUUCUUGUUAUUUUAGCUAAAAUAAUGGAGCACAUUUUAUUUUAUUUUAUUUGCAAUCUGAAGCCUUGGUUGUACUUCAGUCUCUGGCAAUUGGUUUAUUUCUUGUGGUCAAUUUUGGAGCAGAUGAUGGAUUGUUGGUUGUAGUGAUUUAAUAUUUUAAUGACUAUUCAUAUCAAUGAUUAUGCUUGGCCCCAUGAGAAACACAUGAAGAAGAAACGAUUGUGAGAUAGGGAGGGGAAUAGAGAGAUGACGAGGAGAUGCAUUUAUCUACCACAUCACAAGCAUGAAAUAUCAUCACAUGUCAAUUGUCUAUGACUCCCAUAUCAUAUAAAUAGAAAUCCUAUAUUUUUGUUUCUUGUGAAGUUGCUUCACUUUAUUCCCUUCCUGUUAGAGUUGAUGCUUGAGAUCUAGGGCCUAAACAAUUUGUGACCAUAGACUGCUCAGAGUUGUCCUAUUUGAUCUUCAAGUGCAACCCUUCCAUUGUUCUAUUGCAUCUCCGAGCCAUAUUAGCAUACAUUUCUAAUCAAAAUGGACUACCGGAUUUACUUCAUGUCAGUUGUUACUAUCUCUUAGAAAUUCUUUCUGCAUUCAUCAUAUAAGCAAUUAAAUUCACUAUCAGCGAAGUUCACUGCAAGUUUGCUGCACAAUUUUUAUUUGAUAGAUACACGUGAGAUUUUUUUACGCUUGUUGAAUAUAUGAAUAAUUCAUUUGAGAACAGAGACAAAACAUGACAAGAAAGGGGAACAACUAACCUACAUGGAGCUUGGUCAAGGUCGCCGCUCAUGUUUGAUGGCAUUGUUUCUGGUUCCACUGACAUUGUCGAUGCCUGUUACCUAUGGCCCUGUUGCUGCUUUCCUCGAUAGGGCGUGGUCCAUCAGCCACUGCAUGCAGACAAUAGAAUUUAGGCCAGCAAUUGUCGCUUAUCUACUAUCUAUGCUACAGAUCGACCCAUAGACAGGGAAAGGAAGCGAUGGCUGGUGGGGAGAGGAGCCGGGGGACGUGUUGUGACGGGACAAGAGGCGCAGUGGCAGGGAGAGAAGUUGAAGACUACGCCAUGUGAGUUGCUGAAGCUGUGCCUUAUGCGGUGGGGAUAAGGGAUGUGUGAUGUGCUUGUGUGGUGAGAGACGAGGAGUGGCUUUUCCUUUUUGUGGGAGGCUGUUCAUAUUUGUCUAUUCUAUUUUUAUAUUCAAGAUACAUACAAUUAUUUAUCAUCAUUAUAAUCGAGAUAAUAAAUAUUUAUUUAUUCCAUUAA